CCCUACGGGACGCAGCAGUCGGGAAUAUUGCGCAAUGGAGGAAACUCUGACGCAGUGACGCCGCGUGCGGGACGAAGGCCCUCGGGUUGUAAACCGCUUUCAGCAGGGAAGAUCCAAGACGGUACCUGCAGAAGAAGCUCCGGCUAACUACGUGCCAGCAGCCGCGGUAAUACGUAGGGGGCGAGCGUUAUCCGGAUUCAUUGGGCGUAAAGCGCGCGUAGGCGGCCGCCUAAGCGGGACCUCUAACCCCGGGGCUCAACCCCGGGCCGGGUCCCGGACCGGGCGGCCUGA
This 291-nucleotide ribosomal RNA is filed under the name uncultured bacterium. RNAcentral describes it as "partial 16S ribosomal RNA". It matches the Rfam family "Bacterial small subunit ribosomal RNA", at positions 337 to 645 of the family's 1533-position model. The record is from RNAcentral.